RNAcentral lists this non-coding RNA (159 nucleotides) under bovine gut metagenome. RNAcentral describes it as "Lysine riboswitch". It matches the Rfam family "Lysine riboswitch aptamer". From Rfam's summary of the family: Riboswitches are metabolite binding domains within certain messenger RNAs that serve as precision sensors for their corresponding targets. Allosteric rearrangement of mRNA structure is mediated by ligand binding, and this results in modulation of gene expression. The record is from RNAcentral.
GGAUAGAGGCGCAGCUGUCAAAAGUAGCUCCCGGUGCAAGGUCUGGCCGGACCGUUGCCGGGGUGAAAGGGGCCGCUGCCGAAGGAGACGCGCGGCAUGCUUCUCCUGGGCAAACGGAUAAGAUCCGUUUGACUGUCGCAUUUGCGGAGAGCUAUGGAU